This 459-nucleotide ribosomal RNA is filed under the name uncultured bacterium. RNAcentral describes it as "partial 16S ribosomal RNA". It matches the Rfam family "Bacterial small subunit ribosomal RNA", at positions 338 to 795 of the family's 1533-position model. The record is from RNAcentral.
CCUACGGGUGGCUGCAGUGAGGAAUAUUGGUCAAUGGACGAGAGUCUGAACCAGCCAAGUAGCGUGAAGGAUGACUGCCCUAUGGGUUGUAAACUUCUUUUAUAUGGGAAUAAAAUGUUCCACGUGUGGGAUUUUGUAUGUACCAUAUGAAUAAGGAUCGGCUAACUCCGUGCCAGCAGCCGCGGUAAUACGGAGGAUCCGAGCGUUAUCCGGAUUUAUUGGGUUUAAAGGGAGCGUAGGUGGAUUGUUAAGUCAGUUGUGAAAGUUUGCGGCUCAACCGUAAAAUUGCAGUUGAAACUGGCAGUCUUGAGUACAGUAGAGGUGGGCGGAAUUCGUGGUGUAGCGGUGAAAUGCUUAGAUAUCACGAAGAACUCCGAUUGCGAAGGCAGUUCACUGGACUGCAACUGACACUGAGGCUCGAAAGUGUGGGUAUCAAACAGGAGUAGAUACCCCAGUAUC